AAUGCAGGAGAUGAUGUGUUUUAUUGUGAAUAUGAGUAUGAUAUUCAUUGGCACAAUUUCAAGCGAAUAACUGAUGUU
Small nucleolar RNA from Ananas comosus (pineapple), 78 nucleotides. It matches the Rfam family "Small nucleolar RNA snoR28". Rfam says of the family: R28 is a member of the C/D class of snoRNA which contain the C (UGAUGA) and D (CUGA) box motifs. Most of the members of the box C/D family function in directing site-specific 2'-O-methylation of substrate RNAs. NCBI's taxonomy places the organism in Eukaryota, Viridiplantae, Streptophyta, Magnoliopsida, Poales, Bromeliaceae. The record is from Rfam.